GACGAACGCUGGCGGCGUGCCUAAUACAUGCAAGUCGAGCGGACCAAAGGGAGCUUGCUCCUGGAGGUUAGCGGCGAACGGGUGAGUAACACGUGGGCAACCUGCCUGUAAGACUGGGAUAACAUCGAGAAAUCGGUGCUAAUACCGGAUAAUAAAAAGAACUGCAUGGUUCUUUUUUGAAAGAUGGUUUCGGCUAUCACUUACAGAUGGGCCCGCGGCGCAUUAGCUAGUUGGUGAGGUAACGGCUCACCAAGGCGACGAUGCGUAGCCGACCUGAGAGGGUGAUCGGCCACACUGGGACUGAGACACGGCCCAGACUCCUACGGGAGGCAGCAGUAGGGAAUCUUCCGCAAUGGACGAAAGUCUGACGGAGCAACGCCGCGUGAGUGAUGAAGGUUUUCGGAUCGUAAAAACUCUAGUUGUUAGGGAAGAACAAGUGCCGUUCGAAAGGCGGCACCUUGACGGUACCUAACGAGAAAGCCACGGCUAACUACGUGCCAGCAGCCGCGGUAAAG
RNAcentral lists this ribosomal RNA (515 nucleotides) under uncultured bacterium. RNAcentral's name for it is "bacterial SSU rRNA". It matches the Rfam family "Bacterial small subunit ribosomal RNA", at positions 28 to 525 of the family's 1533-position model. The record is from RNAcentral.